Quercus robur (English oak) is the source of this 1201-nucleotide long non-coding RNA. RefSeq lists it as uncharacterized. The transcript is spliced from 2 exons. The record is from RefSeq and is a predicted model, not a curated record. NCBI's taxonomy places the organism in Eukaryota, Viridiplantae, Streptophyta, Magnoliopsida, Fagales, Fagaceae.
UAUUGGUAUUCCAGAGACUGGUCCAUGAUUUACUGCGAUCUAAUUAAAAAGGUCUCUCUAAGUGACAAUCGAGCUUAUAGUGUAAAUGAUAAUUUUCAACAUUUUUUUUUUUUUUUGAGAAACAAACACACACACAUGAUAAUUUUCAACAUUUUGAUUACACACAUACCUUUCAAUUUUUUUUUUCUUGGAAAAGUUAGGCACAUGUAUAUAGAAAAAUAACAAUAAAUCACAUGCACCAGAAAUAAUCGUGCCUGCAUACUAAUCAUGCUUACCAACCAUGGAAUAUAAAUCUCUAGGACCAUGAACUAGGGUCCACAGCACCACAAAUAAACAUGUCUCCAUGUCCACAAAAACAGUAUUUCCCAUGGAUAAAAUAACUUAGGUACAUGUUACAUCGAUCCCACACAAAAUAACAAAGUCCAAAUAAUUAAAAAAACUUUUCAAAGUUCCAAGCACUGUUUAGCUACAAAUAGCGAAUCUUCCUCUGAAUUUCGAAACUGAUAAUGAAACACCAAUAUAUAGGAAUCUUCAGCAAUGCUUCCCACGUCUGUACAUGAUUAUUAUUGCAUACAGCCAUACACGUCCUCAUCCUAGUUCCCACCUUAACGUUAGCUUCUAUCUAAAAUUAUAUGUUGUCUCUUUCUCAAUCUCUCACACCAAUCACCAAGCUGCUCUCUAUUUUUCAUUAUCUUAUGCACCAUUGGCUUAUUCUUAUCAAUGUCCAUCUCAGAAAUCUCAUCUUCACCAUCAUCACAAAGAGUUGAACUAGUUUCCAAGUCUGUGUCUGAACGACUUGUUCAAAAAUUUUCUGAUGUGUCUGAAUUCGACUUUGAUUAUGAGCAAAGUGGACUGUGGUCUCCUCCAAUCCAAAGAAGGGUGUUCAUGAGCUCCCCAGGAAGAAUAUUCACCGAGGAUGAAAUGCUUGCGAGACUUAGAAAAGUUAUGCAUACUCGUCCUCCAAGAAAACACAAAUUUUGUUUCAAUGUAUUAGUUUGUUGCUUCUGAAGAAGAUGUCGAAGACAACCUCUUUUCUAGGAAUGGAACUAAUUUAGCAGGUCAAAGCUCAAUACAAAAUGACCCCGAUUUAUAAUUAUUGUUGUAGUUUUUUAAAGAUUCGUUUACUUGGUGAUGUAAAUGUUACAUUGUCUGGAAGAAACACAGAGAAAUAUAUUGUUCAUGCCUAUCUAUUUAAUUUCCA